UACGUAGGGGGCAAGCGUUGUCCGGAUUUAUUGGGCGUAAAGAGCGUGUAGGCGGCUGGGUAGGUCCGUUGUGAAAACUCGAGGCUCAACCUCGAGACGCCGAUGGAAACCCUCCAGCUAGAGUCCGGAAGAGGAGAGUGGAAUUCCUGGUGUAGCGGUGAAAUGCGCAGAUAUCAGGAAGAACACCCGUGGCUAAGGCGGCUCUCUAGUACGGUACUGACGCUGAGACGCGAAAGCGCGGGGAGCGAACAGG
RNAcentral lists this ribosomal RNA (253 nucleotides) under uncultured bacterium. RNAcentral's name for it is "partial 16S ribosomal RNA". It matches the Rfam family "Bacterial small subunit ribosomal RNA", at positions 524 to 776 of the family's 1533-position model. The record is from RNAcentral.